UUCCUCCUCCACCACCAACCGCCAUUUGAUGGUUAUUAAUCCAACAAAGAGAAUAAGCUGGAAAAGAAAGGUGGAGUUCAGCCAUUUUGAUCUAAUAAUUAGAAAACACUUUAAGCUGGAUACGAGGAAUAGGAAUGUAUUGAAAAAAUAAAUCGAUAUCGGCGACGAAUCAAAAAAAAAUUCUACUUAUUAGUGAGCAAAUCAAUAAAGUACACUUACAAGAAUUCCACUAAAAAAAAACAAUGUCUAUUUGAAUACGGUGGUGUGGGUAUGUUUCGAAAUCGCUGUGAACCUACUUCGAGACUUAAGCAAAUACUGUAAGAAUAUUAGAUCCCCGUAUCAGAAUCUAUCGAAUAAUAUCGACAUCACUAUCCUCUUUUACGUAUUUAGGCGAUGUUUAAUAUAUACAUAAGUUUUUAUCCAUUUUUUUAUGACAGUAGAGAAAAGAUUUAAUUAGAGAUAACCUAAAUCCUUAUUGACUUAAAAAAGGAUGAUACUUACUUGUGGAUAUUUAUUUGCGAAGAAUCUUUGAACAAACAGAAACUUAUAAUAGAUUCUUUCUAAAUCUCGGAGCAUAUUCUGGCUCAUUUUAUAUUUAUAUUUUCCUUUUCAGCUUUUUAGAACUCAAUUCCGACCUCAGUUUGGUUGCAACUUUGCUACAGACACUAUUUAAUAUCUCGGUCUCCUGUACAUUUUACCAGGUUUACGUUGUAUUGUUUAUAUAGUUUAUAUAGCAAUAUUUACUACAUGUUCAUCAUAUUACGAAAAUAGAUUAAGAGAACUGGGGAAAGAGUGAGGAGAUGAGAAAUUUUCGGAUUUAUUUAUAAUUUCCAAUUAUUAUUUUUAAGACGAAAUUGCCGCGAGACUACAUUGUCCAUGAAAUUAAUGUUUGUGUUUAUUCUACUAAAGGGUAUGAAUGCUCGAUCUCGUGCCAAGGUGCCUACAAUCUUAAUACGCCGCUGCCUGUGUAUGAUUAUAAUAUUACUUCUGUUUUUUGCACAGAAAGCGUGUUUCAUUUCAAAGAUUGACUUCCAAUUAAAUUUAAUUAAUAAUAUGUUGUUUCAUUUCCUUAUUUAA
Molecule: non-coding RNA, 1077 nt
Organism: Schizosaccharomyces pombe (fission yeast)
Lineage: Eukaryota; Fungi; Ascomycota; Schizosaccharomycetes; Schizosaccharomycetales; Schizosaccharomycetaceae
Source: the annotation of a GenBank genome assembly